Macaca mulatta (Rhesus monkey) is the source of this 1715-nucleotide non-coding RNA. NCBI's taxonomy places the organism in Eukaryota, Metazoa, Chordata, Mammalia, Primates, Cercopithecidae. The record is from RefSeq and is a predicted model, not a curated record.
UGUUGAAAUUUGUUGGUCUCAAACUCCUGACCUCGUGAUCUGCCCACCUUGGCCUCCCAAAGUGCUGGGAUUACAGGCGUCAGACACUGCACAUGGCCAAUCAAUCCUUCUUAAUAGUAAGAUUUAUUUUAAAAUUUGGAUUGUGGUUAUAAGACUUUUAGUAGUCUUGGAUAUUACCAUCUUUAUCCUGAAUGAAAGUGUAGCAAGAGGCUGGGCACAGUGGCUCAUGCCUAUAAUCCCAGCACUUUGGGAGGCUGAGGCCAGAGGAUCCCUUGAGCCCAGGAGACCAGCCUGGGCAACAAAGCAAGACCCUGUCUGUAUUAAAAUUACAAAAGUGUGGUAAGGAUCAUUUCCUCACUAACCUUGAACAUCCAAACACAAACCAUCAAAAAGAAUCAACUUCAGAAAGCCAUUAUUGCUUUACUGGUUACGGUGAUUAAAAGAAGGAGGCCCCUCGGGUCACAAAGAUAAUUAACUGAUUUGUCACUAACCAUAUUGAAACUCUUUUUCAAAAAGGGUAUAGAUAACUUUGUAAUUUACAAUUUUAACAAUCAAAUUAGCCAAGAGUAGAGUUUGCAAUAGGACUAGAAAAUACUCCAGUGGCUCAUAUAUAAGUGGGUUAAUUUUAUCUAUUUUUAGGCCUACUAGGUCUAUCAGUCUGGAUUUUCCAUUACUUGGAAAUGGGGGCUGGGGAACAGAUGCUUCUGGCCACUCUGAGCCCUGGCUUGAUCCUUGGGACUCAUCUCUCUCUCUCUCCCUGUUUGUGCGUCACCUCACAGCGGAUACCUGGCUCUUAUCUCAGGACCUGACCUCCCACUGAGCUCCAAGCCUGCAAAGCAUGCUGCCACCCAGAAGUGAGCUACCAUCAGUCACCCGGGAAAUGCAAAUUAAAACCACAGUGAGUGCCCUUAUGCACCCACUAAAAUCAAGCAGACCGAUGAUGCUAAUUGUUGCUGAGGAUAUGGAGUCUCACACGUUUGCUGGGGAAAUGUAAAAUGGCCUGGGCACUUUGUAAACCAGUUUCGGUUAAUAGUAAAUUAAAUGUACACUUACCACAUGACUCAAUAAUUCUACUCUUAGGAUUUACCCAAGGAAAAUAAAAACGUAUGUCCACACAAAGACUUUUUCACAAAUGUGCAUAUCAGCUUUAUUCAUAAUAGGCAUAAGCUAGAAACAUCCAAAUGUCCAUCAAUGGGUGGAAGAAUAAACAAAGUGUGGUUUACCCAUGUAACAGAAUACUAGCAACAAAGAGGAGCUGCUGUUACCUGCAAGCAAUGGAUGAAUCUCAAAAUUAUGUUAAACCAGAGAAGCCAGACACAAGAGAAUGCAUAAUAUAUGAUUCAAUUUCUGUGAAAUUCUAUUUCUACAAAAAGCGAAACUUAUUAAUAGGGGCAGAAAGUAGACCAGUGGUUCUCUGUGGCUGGGUCAGGGAGAGAGCAGCUGACUGCACAGAGCAUGAGAGGGUGAUGGCAAAGUCCAUUCACAUCCUGAAUGUGGUGAUGGUUAUGCCCGUGUAUACAUUCACCAAACCCCAGCAACCUGUACACUUAAAAUGGGUGUGUUUUAUAUAUAACUUAUACUUCAGUAAGGUGUCGACACAGAUAGGCUAAGCUUUUUCAGAGAUGUAACACAGGUAGACAGGAGUAUCAGUGCUGAUUGGCCAACUAUCUUUACAAGAUUUUAUUAAGCUAUAAAUAAAAUGGAAUUGAAAUAGC